RNAcentral lists this ribosomal RNA (498 nucleotides) under uncultured bacterium. RNAcentral's name for it is "partial 16S ribosomal RNA". It matches the Rfam family "Bacterial small subunit ribosomal RNA", at positions 30 to 523 of the family's 1533-position model. The record is from RNAcentral.
AUUGAGCGCUGGCGGCAUGCCUUACACAUGCAAGUCGAACGGUAACAGGUCUUCGGAUGCUGACGAGUGGCGAACGGGUGAGUAAUACAUCGGAACGUGCCUAGUAGUGGGGGAUAACUACUCGAAAGAGUGGCUAAUACCGCAUGAGAUCUACGGAUGAAAGCAGGGGAUCGCAAGACCUUGUGCUACUAGAGCGGCCGAUGGCAGAUUAGGUAGUUGGUGGGAUAAAAGCUUACCAAGCCGACGAUCUGUAGCUGGUCUGAGAGGACGAUCAGCCACACUGGGACUGAGACACGGCCCAGACUCCUACGGGAGGCAGCAGUGGGGAAUUUUGGAAAAUGGGCGCAAGCCUGAUCCAGCAAUGCCGCGUGCAGGAUGAAGGCCUUCGGGUUGUAAACUGCUUUUGUACGGAACGAAAAGCCCCGGGUUAAUACCCUGGGGUCAUGACGGUACCGUAAGAAUAAGCACCGGCUAACUACGUGCCAGCCGCCGCGGUAA